UUUAUCUUCAUCCUUUGCUUAGGCCCUAGGUUUCAUCUAUCUUAUAGUUUACCAAAACUAUCACUCUGUGUGUGUGCGCAUGCAGAAGCAUGCAAACCAUUACUUGAAGAAUGUUAAAUAGCCAAGCAAUUCAGCCAAGAGGGAAUAUUUGCACAACCCAUAAUGGUGCAUGCAUCAAUCAUAUCAUGGCUCAGCACUUACAAAAGAACCGUUGUGGUGUAGAGAGAAUUUCUUUAGUCCCACAUCGAUGAUGAGUCAAGAAAGAAUAUGGCUUAUAUGGAUUAGAACCUUCUCUCCCAACAUAAAGCACCUUUUAAAGGAAAAAACCGUGAGGCUCUAAAUGUUCAAGGCCCAUUGAAGCC
Molecule: long non-coding RNA, 362 nt
Filed under: Elaeis guineensis (African oil palm)
Lineage: Eukaryota; Viridiplantae; Streptophyta; Magnoliopsida; Arecales; Arecaceae
Description: long non-coding RNA (EGUI_LNC008680)
Source: RNAcentral